GACGAACGCUGGCGGCGUGCCUAAUACAUGCAAGUUGAGCGAUGAAGAUUGGUGCUUGCACCAAUUUGAAGAGCAGCGAACGGGUGAGUAACGCGUGGGGAAUCUGCCUUUGAGCGGGGGACAACAUUUGGAAACGAAUGCUAAUACCGCAUAAUAACUUUAAACAUAAGUUUUAAGUUUGAAAGAUGCAAUUGCAUCACUCAAAGAUGAUCCCGCGUUGUAUUAGCUAGUUGGUGAGGUAAAGGCUCACCAAGGCGAUGAUACAUAGCCGACCUGAGAGGGUGAUCGGCCACAUUGGGACUGAGACACGGCCCAAACUCCUACGGGAGGCAGCAGUAGGGAAUCUUCGGCAAUGGGCGAAAGUCUGACCGAGCAACGCCGCGUGAGUGAAGAAGGUUUUCGGAUCGUAAAACUCUGUUGGUAGAGAAGAACGUUGGUGAGAGUGGAAAGCUCAUCAAGUGACGGUAACUACCCAGAAAGGGACGGCUAACUACGUG
RNAcentral lists this ribosomal RNA (497 nucleotides) under uncultured bacterium. RNAcentral's name for it is "partial 16S ribosomal RNA". It matches the Rfam family "Bacterial small subunit ribosomal RNA", at positions 28 to 507 of the family's 1533-position model. The record is from RNAcentral.